This 447-nucleotide ribosomal RNA is filed under the name beta proteobacterium BAL109. RNAcentral describes it as "bacterial SSU rRNA". It matches the Rfam family "Bacterial small subunit ribosomal RNA", at positions 49 to 491 of the family's 1533-position model. Lineage: Bacteria; Pseudomonadati; Pseudomonadota; Betaproteobacteria. The record is from RNAcentral.
UUACACAUGCAAGUCGAACGGCAGCACGGACUUCGGUCUGGUGGCGAGUGGCGAACGGGUGAGUAAUGUAUCGGAACGUGCCUAGUAGCGGGGGAUAACUACGCGAAAGCGUAGCUAAUACCGCAUACGCCCUACGGGGGAAAGCAGGGGAUCGCAAGACCUUGCACUAUUAGAGCGGCCGAUAUCGGAUUAGCUAGUUGGUGGGGUAACGGCUCACCAAGGCGACGAUCCGUAGCUGGUUUGAGAGGACGACCAGCCACACUGGGACUGAGACACGGCCCAGACUCCUACGGGAGGCAGCAGUGGGGAAUUUUGGACAAUGGGGGAAACCCUGAUCCAGCCAUCCCGCGUGUGCGAUGAAGGCCUUCGGGUUGUAAAGCACUUUUGGCAGGAAAGAAACGUCAUGGGCUAAUACCCCGUGAAACUGACGGUACCUGCAGAAUAAGC